ACCCCGAUACAUAAAGUGCUAUGCCUUAGCACCUUUCUUUGUUUAUCAGCUCGUACCAUGGUAAUGGUGCAUGCAACAGUUCUGUUCGCCGGCUGCCUACGGCUGGCGUGAACCCUAUGGGGUUGAGAAGCUCUGUUUUUUUGUGGCUAGGUAGGCCGGCGGCGGCGGGUUGUGAACUCGUAGAAGAAGCAGGGGAGAAACGGAGCAGUUAACGUUGAUGAAUCUGGGGGUCAGUAUGAAGAGGGCUUCGAAGAUCUUCAAGAGUGAUCAUUACAUUUGAAAUAAUAGCGUCAGUGCAUUCUUCAACCGAGACAUGAAUCUGCUGGCUAUUUAUAAGAAUUGAAUCUCUCAAAUUCAUAUCAUACCGUUGGAGCAACUGUACAAGGCUGCAAAAUAUGAAGAGAAGAAUUUAUUAGUUCCAAAGUUAAAAAUGCCAGAUUUGCAGGGACCAUAGAAGUUUACUGGCUUCAGAAGGUAUCUCUUGUUCUCAGGAACCAAAAAUGUUGCAGGAUAGACUAUUUAGAUUGUUCUUACCUCUCUAUCAUCAUUUCCUUCGCCUUCUGCGCCAAAAUCGUCGACGCUGAACACUUUCUGAAGAUUAAUGGCAGGAGAAGGAACCUCAACAUGAGAGUUGAACUGUUGAGUGAACAAAGGUGACAUGGUACGACAAUGGAGUCUGUGAACAGAAAUUAAGACAAAGGAGACCAAAAGAAGAUUUCGUGAAUCCAUUUGCAUGUUUCAGAACAAAGUAGUCAGAGAUUAUGUGUGGCUUAAAAUGUUUGAAGCAGAACCGAUACAGUUAUGACUAUGGAAUUAUGUUCAUGUUGAUAUGCUUUUAUACACAAACAUGUCAUACGUUUAUUCUUCACUUUUCUUAGAGAGAGAAAGAGAUAGAGAUAGAGAGAGAGAGAGAGAGGACAUUUAUGGUGAGAUAUCUAAGUUUAGGUGAUGUUCGGCAAGAGCAAGAAGGUAUGUUGUUGAGAAAAGAUGAUGUAGACGAAAGGAUUGCUAACAUCAUACUUUUUUUACUUUCACGUCUAAAAUAUGAUGUAAUUGUGUUAGGAAAUGGGUGAAUAAUUCCUUCUUACCUUAUUAGUGUUGUCACUGACCUUUCCAUA
Molecule: long non-coding RNA, 1118 nt
Organism: Dendrobium catenatum
Lineage: Eukaryota; Viridiplantae; Streptophyta; Magnoliopsida; Asparagales; Orchidaceae
Exons: 5
Source: RefSeq, a predicted model, not a curated record